Long non-coding RNA from Canis lupus familiaris (dog), 945 nucleotides. RefSeq lists it as uncharacterized. Lineage: Eukaryota; Metazoa; Chordata; Mammalia; Carnivora; Canidae. The record is from RefSeq and is a predicted model, not a curated record. The transcript has 3 exons.
CAGAUACUCAACUGCUGAGCCACCCAGGUGUUCCAUUAUAAUUAAAUUUAAAUGAGGUUAUUAGACAGGCCCUAAUCCAAGAUGACUGUUGUCCUUAUAAGAAGAGCAAAUUUGGACACAGAUAUGGACAAAAGGAAGAAGUGAAGACACAGGAGAAGAUGGCCAUCUCUUGGCCAUUUAAGGAGAGAUGCCUGGAGCAGAUCCUUCCUUCAGGGCCCUCAGAGGGAACCAACCCUGCUGACACCUUGAUCUUGGACUUCCAACCUUCAGAACUGAGUUAAUGGAUUCUCCGAAUCAGCCCAUCCAUGGAUCUUCCAAAGCCAGUGAUUUCCAUGAUGUAUGGAACUUGCCAUCCCAAAGAAAGUUGCAAGCUCUCGAACAGAAGAGACCUCAGCUUAACUCUUUCUGUAUCCUGCCCAAUGCCCCAAGACCCCAUCCAUUAAGUUCUCACUGAUUGUCAAAACUCCUUGAGAUUCCCGAAGGAGGAGUCCUGGGAAAAUCUACAACCCAACCAAUGUUGGGAGACUUUGUUUUGUUUCUUCUUCUAUUACCAACAGGAUCAAGCAACAUUGCCUUGUUAUGACUGAUGGAAUUCCAUUCCCCCUCCUCCAUUCAUCUACUAUUGGGGGCACUUAGCCACCAAGGUCCACCUCUGGGAGGAGGUAGAAAGAAUCACCAGGGCUUCCAGCUUUCCUGCCCCGGUUCCAGCGGCUACACACAUGCUGCCAAUUGAAAGACGAUGUGUGUGUUGGCAUGGCUAUACCUCUGCGUUAGCAAGUGUGAAUUUGGAAUUCCAAUCUGAUUGACUAAGUAACUUUGACUCUAAUUAGAACAGUAGGGUUUGUUCUUAAUCUGCAACCAUUUAAUCUUCUGUCUCAUUAAUUGUACAAAGGUCUUUAUGAAUAUGUAGAUCGAGAGGGGAAUAAAAGAUUAUUUGACCUUGAA